GAUGAACGCUGGCGGCGUGCCUAAUACAUGCAAGUCGAGCGAAUGGAUUGGGAGCUUGCUCUUAUGAAGUUAGCGGCGGACGGGUGAGUAACACGUGGGUAACCUGCCCAUAAGACUGGGAUAACUCCGGGAAACCGGGGCUAAUACCGGAUAACAUUUUGAACCGCAUGGUUCGAAAUUGAAAGGCGGCUUCGGCUGUCACUUAUGGAUGGACCCGCGUCGCAUUAGCUAGUUGGUGAGGUAACGGCUCACCAAGGCAACGAUGCGUAGGCGACCUGAGAGGGUGAUCGGCCAAACUGGGACUGAGACACGGCCCAGACUCCUACGGGAGGCAGCAGUAGGGAAUCUUCCGCAAUGGACGAAAGUCUGACGGAGCAACGCCGCGUGAGUGAUGAAGGCUUUCGGGUCGUAAAACUCUGUUGUUAGGGAAGAACAAGUGCUAGUUGAAUAAGCUGGCACCUUGACGGUACCUAACCAGAAAGCCACGGCUAACUACGUGCCAGCCGCCGCGGUAA
This 515-nucleotide ribosomal RNA is filed under the name uncultured bacterium. RNAcentral's name for it is "partial 16S ribosomal RNA". It matches the Rfam family "Bacterial small subunit ribosomal RNA", at positions 28 to 523 of the family's 1533-position model. The record is from RNAcentral.